Molecule: transfer RNA, 74 nt
Filed under: Clostridiales bacterium
Lineage: Bacteria; Bacillati; Bacillota; Clostridia; Eubacteriales
Description: tRNA-Arg
Rfam family: tRNA
About the family: Transfer RNA (tRNA) molecules are approximately 80 nucleotides in length.
Source: RNAcentral
GUGCUAGUAGCUCAGCAGGAUAGAGCAAUGGCCUUCUAAGCCAUUUGUCGGGGGUUCGAAUCCCUUCUGGCACG